GACGAACGCUGGCGGCGUGCUUAACACAUGCAAGUCGAGCGGUAAGGCCCUUUCGGGGGUACGACGAGCGGCGAACGGGUGAGUAACACGUGGGUGACCUGCCCUCAGCUCUGGGAUAAGCCUGGGAAACUGGGUCUAAUACCGGAUAUGACUCCAUGACGCAUGUUGUGGGGUGGAAAGCCUUGUGCGGCUGAGGAUGGGCCCGCGGCCUAUCAGCUUGUUGGUGGGGUGAUGGCCUACCAAGGCGACGACGGGUAGCCGGCCUGAGAGGGCGACCGGCCACACUGGGACUGAGACACGGCCCAGACUCCUACGGGAAGCAGCAGUGGGGAAUCUUGCGCAAUGGGCGAAAGCCUGACGCAGCGACGCCGCGUGAGGGAUGACGG
This 386-nucleotide ribosomal RNA is filed under the name uncultured bacterium. RNAcentral's name for it is "bacterial SSU rRNA". It matches the Rfam family "Bacterial small subunit ribosomal RNA", at positions 28 to 414 of the family's 1533-position model. The record is from RNAcentral.